UAUGCUUUCCGUCAGCUCGCCAUCUGCUAGCGGAAAAACAAAUGCUUAAGAACAUCUGCUCUUUUAUUGUUUUUGCAUAUAUAAAUAAGCAUUAUCACACUUUAUAGGUAUACCAAAGCAUAACUAGUUACUUUUUCAAGAACUCUUCAGCCGUAAGAGAAAAGGAAAAGCUAUGAAGUACUUGGGAUUUUUGGUAAUCUUUGCCUUAAUUGUAUCCACAUAUGCUGGUAUAGAUACGACACAGUUUCUUGAGCAUUUCAUUAAGGUGGGAUGUGCGAAGGACGCUUCUUCAGGAGCAGAUAUGCUGAUGAAAAUAUGUGGAACAUGCUUGCACUACACUGUCGAUCUAAGGAAAAUUGAUCAGGGAUCAUGCGCAAAUCUUCGAACCUAAUUUCUGAGGUUUGAAACAGUCGCACGGAAGAACUACAAAUGGAUGAAUGAAUGCAAGGCAAUCUUUCUAAGCAGGAGAAAUGUUCAUAAGAUGAAUGUAUUAAUUAAUCUGUAUUCAGUAAAAUUAUGAUAAAUUAUUAAUAAUUCAAAAAAUAAUAAAAUUACGAAUUUUUCCUUUCA
Argiope bruennichi is the source of this 570-nucleotide long non-coding RNA. RefSeq lists it as uncharacterized. Lineage: Eukaryota; Metazoa; Arthropoda; Arachnida; Araneae; Araneidae. The transcript has 3 exons. The record is from RefSeq and is a predicted model, not a curated record.